Molecule: ribosomal RNA, 119 nt
Filed under: Ricinus communis (castor bean)
Lineage: Eukaryota; Viridiplantae; Streptophyta; Magnoliopsida; Malpighiales; Euphorbiaceae
Source: RNAcentral
UGGUGCGAUAAUAACAGCACUAAUGCACCGGAUCUCAUCAGAACUCCGAAGUUAAACGUGCUUGGGCGAGAGUAGUACUAAGAUGGGUGACCUCUUGGGAAGUCCUCGUGUUGAACCUC